This 432-nucleotide ribosomal RNA is filed under the name uncultured bacterium. RNAcentral's name for it is "partial 16S ribosomal RNA". It matches the Rfam family "Bacterial small subunit ribosomal RNA", at positions 29 to 507 of the family's 1533-position model. The record is from RNAcentral.
ACGCACGCUGGCGGCAUGCCUCACCCCUGCCAGUCGCACGCGACCUUCGGGUCUAGUGGCGCACGGGUGCGUCACGCGUGGGAACCUGCCCUUAGGUUCGGAAUAACUCCCCGAAAGGGGUGCUAAUACCGGAUAAUGUCUUCGGACCAAAGAUUUAUCGCCUUUGGAUGGGCCCGCGUUGGAUUAGCUAGUUGGUAGGGUAAAAGCCUACCAAGGCGACGAUCCAUAGCUGGUCUGAGAGGAUGAUCAGCCACACUGGGACUGAGACACGGCCCAGACUCCUACGGGAGGCAGCAGUGGGGAAUAUUGGACAAUGGGCGAAAGCCUGAUCCAGCAAUGCCGCGUGAGUGAUGAAGGCCUUAGGGUUGUAAAGCUCUUUUACCCGGGAUGAUAAUGACAGUACCGGGAGAAUAAGCUCCGGCUAACUCCGUG